This 350-nucleotide ribosomal RNA is filed under the name uncultured bacterium. Its description in RNAcentral is "bacterial SSU rRNA". It matches the Rfam family "Bacterial small subunit ribosomal RNA", at positions 355 to 697 of the family's 1533-position model. The record is from RNAcentral.
UGGGGAAUAUUGGACAAUGGGCGAAAGCCUGAUCCAGCCAUGCCGCGUGUGUGAAGAAGGCCUUCGGGUUGUAAAGCACUUUAAGCGAGGAGGAAGGUUCGUCACCUAAUACGUGGCGGAAUUGACGUUACUCGCAGAAUAAGCACCGGCUAACUCUGUGCCAGCAGCCGCGGUAAUACAGAGGGUGCAAGCGUUAAUCGGAAUUACUGGGCGUAAAGCGCGCGUAGGCGGUUGUGUAAGUUGGAUGUGAAAUCCCCGGGCUUAACCUGGGCACUGCAUUCAAAACUGCACGGCUAGAGUAUUGGAGAGGAAGGUAGAAUUCCAGGUGUAGCGGUGAAAUGCGUAGAGAU